This 799-nucleotide ribosomal RNA is filed under the name uncultured Ralstonia sp. RNAcentral's name for it is "bacterial SSU rRNA". It matches the Rfam family "Bacterial small subunit ribosomal RNA", at positions 8 to 796 of the family's 1533-position model. Lineage: Bacteria; Pseudomonadati; Pseudomonadota; Betaproteobacteria; Burkholderiales; Burkholderiaceae. The record is from RNAcentral.
AGAGUUUGAUCCUGGCUCAGAUUGAACGCUGGCGGCAUGCCUUACACAUGCAAGUCGAACGGCAGCAUGAUCUAGCUUGCUAGAUUGAUGGCGAGUGGCGAACGGGUGAGUAAUACAUCGGAACGUGCCCUGUAGUGGGGGAUAACUAGUCGAAAGAUUAGCUAAUACCGCAUACGACCUGAGGGUGAAAGUGGGGGACCGCAAGGCCUCAUGCUAUAGGAGCGGCCGAUGUCUGAUUAGCUAGUUGGUGAGGUAAAGGCUCACCAAGGCGACGAUCAGUAGCUGGUCUGAGAGGACGAUCAGCCACACUGGGACUGAGACACGGCCCAGACUCCUACGGGAGGCAGCAGUGGGGAAUUUUGGACAAUGGGGGCAACCCUGAUCCAGCAAUGCCGCGUGUGUGAAGAAGGCCUUCGGGUUGUAAAGCACUUUUGUCCGGAAAGAAAUCGCACUUACUAAUAUUAGGUGUGGAUGACGGUACCGGAAGAAUAAGGACCGGCUAACUACGUGCCAGCAGCCGCGGUAAUACGUAGGGUCCAAGCGUUAAUCGGAAUUACUGGGCGUAAAGCGUGCGCAGGCGGUUGUGCAAGACCGAUGUGAAAUCCCCGGGCUUAACCUGGGAAUUGCAUUGGUGACUGCACGGCUAGAGUGUGUCAGAGGGGGGUAGAAUUCCACGUGUAGCAGUGAAAUGCGUAGAGAUGUGGAGGAAUACCGAUGGCGAAGGCAGCCCCCUGAGAUAACACUGACGCUCAUGCACGAAAGCGUGGGGAGCAAACAGGAUUAGAUACCCCGGUAGUCC